ACUAUUGUAAGCUAUAUAUUGUUAGUAUAUAAUAAUUAUGAAAACAAAAAAUUGUGGCGGUAUUUUAAGCUCUUCAGAGGAAUUUGCUCUUUAAUGGAUAAAACGCCAAAUUCUUACUAAAAUUAGCAAAACAGUUUGUAUACCACUAUGAAAGUAAUAAGUUAUUAUUAUUACUUAAAAUUAAGUAUAAUUUAAAAUAAAUUAAGUCAAGGUGCAGCAUAAAUUUUAGAAUGAAGUGAAUUACAUUUCUUUUAAGAGAAUAAAAUAUGAAAUUUAUUUUAGGAUUUGAAAGUAAAGUUUUAAUAAAAUGAAGACUUGAACUGAGCACUAAAAUAUGUAC
RNAcentral lists this ribosomal RNA (340 nucleotides) under Haemaphysalis juxtakochi. RNAcentral's name for it is "partial 12S ribosomal RNA". The record is from RNAcentral. Lineage: Eukaryota; Metazoa; Arthropoda; Arachnida; Ixodida; Ixodidae.